GCGGGUGUAGUUUAGUGGUAAAAG
RNAcentral lists this transfer RNA (24 nucleotides) under Leymus komarovii. RNAcentral's name for it is "tRNA-Gly". The record is from RNAcentral. Lineage: Eukaryota; Viridiplantae; Streptophyta; Magnoliopsida; Poales; Poaceae.